GCCUGGCUAGCUCAGUCGGUAGAGCAUGAGACUUUUAAUCUCAGGGUCGUUGGUUCGAUCCCCACGUUGGGCG
This is a non-coding RNA of Pseudophryne corroboree (corroboree frog), 73 nucleotides long. The record is from the annotation of a RefSeq genome assembly. NCBI's taxonomy places the organism in Eukaryota, Metazoa, Chordata, Amphibia, Anura, Myobatrachidae.